GCCCUAUCGUCUAGUGGUUCGGGACAUCUCUCUUUCCAGGAGGUAGCGGGGAUUCGACUUCCCCUGUGGGUA
Molecule: transfer RNA, 72 nt
Filed under: Triticum aestivum (bread wheat)
Lineage: Eukaryota; Viridiplantae; Streptophyta; Magnoliopsida; Poales; Poaceae
Rfam family: tRNA
About the family: Transfer RNA (tRNA) molecules are approximately 80 nucleotides in length. Their secondary structure includes four short double-helical elements and three loops (D, anti-codon, and T loops).
Source: Rfam by way of RNAcentral